RNAcentral lists this ribosomal RNA (253 nucleotides) under uncultured bacterium. Its description in RNAcentral is "partial 16S ribosomal RNA". It matches the Rfam family "Bacterial small subunit ribosomal RNA", at positions 524 to 776 of the family's 1533-position model. The record is from RNAcentral.
UACGUAGGUGGCAAGCGUUAUCCGGAUUUAUUGGGCGUAAAGGGAACGCAGGCGGUCUUUUAAGUCUGAUGUGAAAGCCUUCGGCUUAACCGGAGUAGUGCAUUGGAAACUGGGAGACUUGAGUGCAGAAGAGGAGAGUGGAACUCCAUGUGUAGCGGUGAAAUGCGUAGAUAUAUGGAAGAACACCAGUGGCGAAAGCGGCUCUCUAGUCUGUAACUGACGCUGAGGUUCGAAAGCGUGGGUAGCAAACAGG